RNAcentral lists this transfer RNA (66 nucleotides) under Somanniathelphusa boyangensis. RNAcentral's name for it is "tRNA-Ser". Lineage: Eukaryota; Metazoa; Arthropoda; Malacostraca; Decapoda; Parathelphusidae. The record is from RNAcentral.
GGAUUCAACGACAACAAAGGAAACUUCUAAUUUUCUUAAAGCGGUUUAAUUCCGUUACUAUCCUAU